This 407-nucleotide ribosomal RNA is filed under the name uncultured bacterium. RNAcentral's name for it is "partial 16S ribosomal RNA". It matches the Rfam family "Bacterial small subunit ribosomal RNA", at positions 30 to 526 of the family's 1533-position model. The record is from RNAcentral.
AUUGAACGCUGGCGGCCGGCCUAACACAUGCAAGUCGAGCGGAGCGGCGGACGGGUGAGUAAUGCCUAGGAAUCUGCCUGGUAGUGGGGGAUAACGUCAGGAAACGGGCGCUAAUACCGCAUACUAUCAGAUGAGCCUAGGUCGGUUUAGCUAGUUGGUGGGGUAAAGGCCUACCAGGGCGCCGAUCCGUAACUGGUCUGAGAGGAGGAUCAGUCACCUGGGACCUGGGACACGGUCCAGACUCCGACGGAGGGAAGCAGGGGGGAAUAUUGGACAAUGGGCGAAAGCCUGAUCCAGCCAUGCCGCGUGUGUGAAGAAGGUCUUCGGAUUGUAAAGCAUUUUAAGUUGGGAGGCGUUACCAACAGAAUAAGCACCGGCUAACUUCGUGCCAGCAGCCGCGGUAAUUC